CAGCCGUAAACGAUGCUCGCUAGGUGUCAGGCAUGGCGUGACUGUGUUUGGUGCCGAAGGGAAGCCGUGAAGCGAGCCACCUGGGAAGUACGGCCGCAAGGCUGAAACUUAAAGGAAUUGGCGGGGGAGCACAACAACGGGUGGAGCCUGCGGUUUAAUUGGACUCAACGCCGGGAAGCUCACCGGAUAGGACAGCAGAAUGAUUGCCGGGCUGAAGACCCUGCAUGACUAGCUGAGAGGAGGUGCAUGGCGUCAGUGACU
Molecule: ribosomal RNA, 261 nt
Filed under: uncultured archaeon
Lineage: Archaea
Description: partial 16S ribosomal RNA
Rfam family: Archaeal small subunit ribosomal RNA
Source: RNAcentral